UACGAAGGGGGCUAGCGUUGUUCGGAAUUACUGGGCGUAAAGCGCACGUAGGCGGAUAUUUAAGUCAGGGGUGAAAUCCCAGAGCUCAACUCUGGAACUGCCUUUGAUACUGGGUAUCGUGAGUAUGGAAGAGGUGAGUGGAAUUCCGAGUGUAGAGGUGAAAUUCGUAGAUAUUCGGAGGAACACCAGUGGCGAAGGCGGCUCACUGGUCCAUUACUGACGCUGAGGUGCGAAAGCGUGGGGAGCAAACAGG
Molecule: ribosomal RNA, 253 nt
Filed under: uncultured bacterium
Lineage: Bacteria
Description: partial 16S ribosomal RNA
Rfam family: Bacterial small subunit ribosomal RNA
Source: RNAcentral